AAGGUUCUAGCUUAAUUAAAGCAUUUGAGUUGCAUUCAGAGGAUGCAGGCUAGUAUCCUGCGAAUCUUA
This 69-nucleotide transfer RNA is filed under the name Baryphthengus martii. It matches the Rfam family "tRNA". Rfam says of the family: Transfer RNA (tRNA) molecules are approximately 80 nucleotides in length. Their secondary structure includes four short double-helical elements and three loops (D, anti-codon, and T loops). RNAcentral also lists the same sequence under 1 other name. Lineage: Eukaryota; Metazoa; Chordata; Aves; Coraciiformes; Momotidae. The record is from Rfam by way of RNAcentral.